UGAUCCUGGCUCAGAUUGAACGCUGGCGGCAGGCCUAACACAUGCAAGUCGAGCGGUAGCGGGAAGACUUGCUCUUUGCCGACGAGCGGCGGACGGGUGCGUAACACGUAGGAAUCUGCCCGGUAGUGGGGGAUAGCCCGGAGAAAUCCGGAUUAAUACCGCAUACGCCCUAAGGGGGAAAGCAGGGGAUCUUCGGACCUUGCGCUAUCGGAUGAGCCUGCGUCGGAUUAGCUUGUUGGUGGGGUAAAAGGCCUACCAAGGCGACGAUCCGUAGCUGGUCUGAGAGGAUGAUCAGCCACACUGGGACUGAGACACGGCCCAGACUCCUACGGGAGGCAGCAGAGA
This 345-nucleotide ribosomal RNA is filed under the name uncultured Endozoicomonas sp. Its description in RNAcentral is "bacterial SSU rRNA". It matches the Rfam family "Bacterial small subunit ribosomal RNA", at positions 14 to 357 of the family's 1533-position model. The record is from RNAcentral. Lineage: Bacteria; Pseudomonadati; Pseudomonadota; Gammaproteobacteria; Oceanospirillales; Endozoicomonadaceae.